Molecule: ribosomal RNA, 450 nt
Filed under: uncultured bacterium
Lineage: Bacteria
Description: bacterial SSU rRNA
Rfam family: Bacterial small subunit ribosomal RNA
Source: RNAcentral
UCGAGAAUUUUUCACAAUGGUCGCAAGACUGAUGGAGCGACGCCGCGUGGAGGAUGAAGGUUUUCGGAUUGUAAACUCCUGUCACUGCAGAACAAGGGUAUCCGGUUGAAUAUUCCGGGUAUUUGAUGGUAUGCGGAGAGGAAGGGACGGCUAACUCUGUGCCAGCAGCCGCGGUAAGACAGAGGUCCCGAGCGUUGUUCGGAUUCAUUGGGCGUAAAGGGUGUGUAGGAGGUCAGGUAAGUCAGGUGUGAAAUCUCGGAGCUUAACUCCGAAACUGCGCUUGAUACUGCUUGGCUGGAGGAUCGGAGGGGGCAACGGAAUUUAUGGUGUAGCAGUGAAAUGCGUAGAUAUCAUAAGGAACACCGGUGGCGAAGGCGGUUGCCUGGAAGAUUCCUGACUCUGAAACACGAAAGCCAGGGGAGCAAACGGGAUUAGAUACCCCCGUAGUCC